RNAcentral lists this ribosomal RNA (303 nucleotides) under uncultured bacterium. RNAcentral describes it as "partial 16S ribosomal RNA". It matches the Rfam family "Bacterial small subunit ribosomal RNA", at positions 507 to 807 of the family's 1533-position model. The record is from RNAcentral.
AGCAGUCGCCGCGGUAAAACGUAGGGGGCAAGCGUUAUCCGGAAUUACUGGGUGUAAAGGGAGCGUAGACGGUUAAACAAGUCUGAAGUGAAAUGCCGGGGCUCAACCCCGGAGCUGCUUUGGGAACUGUAGAACUGGAGUGUCGGAGGGGUAAGCGGAAUUCCCAGUGUAGCGGUGAAAUGCGUAGAUAUUGGGAGGAACACCGGCGGCGAAGGCGGCUUACUGGACGACAACUGACGUUGAGGCUCGAAGGCGUGGGUAGCAAACUGGAUUAGAUACCCCGGUAGUCCCUGUCUCUUAUAC